GGAACAGCCGCAAAUAGCUGGGGCUGCGGCGUGCAGGGCACCCGGCACCCAUCCGGGCAGCCUGAAUGUCGUGAAGUGUGGAACGUAAUUUGGAGGACAACUGGCAGAACUCCCAAGACAGGGAAGAAAAAAAUGAUGACGACUUAGUAAUUCUGCUGAAAUCGGCUCCAGCUGGGCAACAGACUGGCUAUGGAACCCCCAACCCUGGGAAGGCCACAUCCACGGGACAUUCAUGUGAGAGGCAGCUGAGCGGGGGGCUU
Molecule: long non-coding RNA, 260 nt
Organism: Pseudopodoces humilis (Tibetan ground-tit)
Lineage: Eukaryota; Metazoa; Chordata; Aves; Passeriformes; Paridae
Source: RefSeq, a predicted model, not a curated record